RNAcentral lists this ribosomal RNA (253 nucleotides) under uncultured bacterium. RNAcentral describes it as "partial 16S ribosomal RNA". It matches the Rfam family "Bacterial small subunit ribosomal RNA", at positions 524 to 776 of the family's 1533-position model. The record is from RNAcentral.
UACGAAGGGGGCUAGCGUUGUUCGGAAUCACUGGGCGUAAAGGGUGCGCAGGCGGAUCAUUAAGUCAGGGGUGAAAUCCCGAGGCUCAACCUCGGAACGGCCUUUGAUACUGGUGAUCUUGAGUCCGGAAGAGGUGAGUGGAACUGCGAGUGUAGAGGUGAAAUUCGUAGAUAUUCGGAAGAACACCAGUGGCGAAGGCGGCCCGCUGGACCGGCAUUGACGCUGAGGUGCGAAAGCGUGGGGAGCAAACAGG